UGACAGAGUGCGAUGUGUGCAUUGCAUUGCGACGGGUUACAUCACUGGUCGUAACAUGAUGUAACCCAACGCAGCAUGAUGUAAGCGUCGUGAUACAUUGGAGAUUUAAAGA
Molecule: microRNA precursor, 112 nt
Filed under: Chelydra serpentina (North American snapping turtle)
Lineage: Eukaryota; Metazoa; Chordata; Testudines; Chelydridae
Description: mir-1397
Rfam family: mir-1397 microRNA precursor family (bases 9-92)
Source: RNAcentral